Molecule: non-coding RNA, 1740 nt
Organism: Coffea arabica (coffee)
Lineage: Eukaryota; Viridiplantae; Streptophyta; Magnoliopsida; Gentianales; Rubiaceae
Source: RefSeq, a predicted model, not a curated record
UUUCCCCAUAGAUUUCUCCGACACCUCGUCCGCGUCCUCGUCCUCGUCCUCGUCCAGUCUUCCUUCUCCUCUCUCCCAAGAGAGAAUUUCCCCCACCCCCAGCCCCCGGGGAUUAAAGCUAAUUACUUUUCGGGUUAGAGAUGUCGAGCAGCGAGGGCGGUCGUGGGUCGCCGGACUUCUAUCUACCGGACGAGAUAUUAUCGGUCAUUCCCACCGACCCCUACGACCAAUUAGAUCUGGCCCGCAAGAUUACGUCCAUGGCCAUUGCCUCCCGGGUCACCAAGCUGGAGUCUGAACUGGGGAGGCUUCGCCAGAAGCUCUACGACAAGGACCGCCUGGUUGUGGACCUCGAGGAUAAGCUUUCUCAGCUCCAGCACGCUUAUCAGGAGACCGACUUGCGUCUCAAAAUCGCUCUCGACAACAAUAUGAAGCUGACAAAGGAGAGGGAUUCCUUGGCCCUAGCCGCCAAGAAGCUGAGCCGUGACUUGGCCAAGUUGGAGACAUUCAAGAGGCAGUUGAUGCAGUCACUUAAUGAUGACAAUUCAUCUGUAAGUUUCCUAACUAGUCUUCCUGCUCGUAUUUUCGUGGUUUAUUUUGUUUGCAACUUCUAUAUAACAUUUCACGUUGUGUCUUGCUACAAAUCACUCCGAGCUCAUCCUUAUCAGCAAGCUGACACUGUUGAUAUUGGGACUUAUGACCAAUCAGUUCCCAAAGCCUGUCCUGCAAAAGAUGAGGAGGUGAAUGGCUACACAACACAACAUUAUUCUUCCUCUGGAACAGAUACUGCAAGCAUUUCUGAUGAUGCCUCGAAACAAAGUGGGUUGAAAUUUUCUAUGACACCGUAUUUAUCUCCACGUCUUACUCCUACUGCAACUCCAAAAAUCGUCUCUGCUAGUGUGUCCCCUGGGAGGUAUUCUGCUGCAGGAUCCCCUCAAAAAACUUCUGGUGCUACCUCUCCUACUAAAAGCCAAUAUGAAAUGCGGGGUUCACUAUCAUCAUGGUACCCAUCAAGCCAGCAGUCAUCAGCAGCAAACUCUCCCCCUCGUGGUCGCCCCAUGCCAGCUCGCACUCCUCGAAUUGAUGGAAAAGAGUUCUUUCGUCAAGCAAGGAGCCGUCUAUCCUAUGAGCAGUUCAGUGCAUUUCUGGCCAACAUAAAGGAACUAAAUGCGCAAAAGCAAUCCCGUGAGGAAACUUUGAGGAAAGCGGAACAGAUUUUUGGUAUGGAUAACAAAGAUCUAUACCUAUCUUUUCAAGGUUUGCUAAAUCGAAACGUACACUAGAAGGAAUUUUCUGGGAAGUGUUUGCAGAGGAGGUAUAAUUAAGUUCACCAUCCUUCAGUUUGGGGGUCAAGUCUCUGGUAACAGCUGAAUUUCGCCACAAGAUAUUUUUCACUGCGCAAAUUUGUGGAAGUGCAAAUGAGCAGGGACUGAACCAGUGAGAUAUAUCUAGGACUAAUUGUUGAAUCCCAUGGUGCCUGGUAGUGAUGCGCUGAAAUUAUAUCAGCACUGGCUGUCCGUACUAUGGUAUGUAUUGACCCUGGUUCACAUUGGACGGGAUUCUGUCUACUAUAUAGGUAGACGACUGUGAUCCAUUUAGCUGCUCGACUUCAUAACUUGUGUAUUAAGGCAUAUUUGAGGACAAAAACCAGCCUAUGACAAAAAUCUCACUUCUGUUGCUGCUUCUAAUGAUGAAAUGCUUGCUUGUGUUUGGGCAAAUGCAAUCUAUUAUGUCGACUUCUCC